RNAcentral lists this ribosomal RNA (1258 nucleotides) under uncultured Acinetobacter sp. RNAcentral describes it as "bacterial SSU rRNA". It matches the Rfam family "Bacterial small subunit ribosomal RNA", at positions 76 to 1329 of the family's 1533-position model. Lineage: Bacteria; Pseudomonadati; Pseudomonadota; Gammaproteobacteria; Moraxellales; Moraxellaceae. The record is from RNAcentral.
UAGCUUGCUACCUGACCUAGCGGCGGACGGGUGAGUAAUGCUUAGGAAUCUGCCUAUUAGUGGGGGACAACAUUCCGAAAGGAAUGCUAAUACCGCAUACGCCCUACGGGGGAAAGCAGGGGAUCUUCGGACCUUGCGCUAAUAGAUGAGCCUAAGUCAGAUUAGCUAGUUGGUGGGGUAAAGGCCUACCAAGGCGACGAUCUGUAGCGGGUCUGAGAGGAUGAUCCGCCACACUGGGACUGAGACACGGCCCAGACUCCUACGGGAGGCAGCAGUGGGGAAUAUUGGACAAUGGGCGAAAGCCUGAUCCAGCCAUGCCGCGUGUGUGAAGAAGGCCUUUUGGUUGUAAAGCACUUUAAGCGAGGAGGAGGCUACUUGGAUUAAUACUCUAGGAUAGUGGACGUUACUCGCAGAAUAAGCACCGGCUAACUCUGUGCCAGCAGCCGCGGUAAUACAGAGGGUGCGAGCGUUAAUCGGAUUUACUGGGCGUAAAGCGUGCGUAGGCGGCUUUUUAAGUCGGAUGUGAAAUCCCCGAGCUUAACUUGGGAAUUGCAUUCGAUACUGGGAAGCUAGAGUAUGGGAGAGGAUGGUAGAAUUCCAGGUGUAGCGGUGAAAUGCGUAGAGAUCUGGAGGAAUACCGAUGGCGAAGGCAGCCAUCUGGCCUAAUACUGACGCUGAGGUACGAAAGCAUGGGGAGCAAACAGGAUUAGAUACCCUGGUAGUCCAUGCCGUAAACGAUGUCUACUAGCCGUUGGGGCCUUUGAGGCUUUAGUGGCGCAGCUAACGCGAUAAGUAGACCGCCUGGGGAGUACGGUCGCAAGACUAAAACUCAAAUGAAUUGACGGGGGCCCGCACAAGCGGUGGAGCAUGUGGUUUAAUUCGAUGCAACGCGAAGAACCUUACCUGGUCUCGACAUAGUAAGAACUUUCCAGAGAUGGAUUGGUGCCUUCGGGAACUUACAUACAGGUGCUGCAUGGCUGUCGUCAGCUCGUGUCGUGAAAUGUUGGGUUAAGUCCCGCAACGAGCGCAACCCUUUUCCUUAUUUGCCAGCGGGUUAAGCCGGGAACUUUAAGGAUACUGCCAGUGACAAACUGGAGGAAGGCGGGGACGACGUCAAGUCAUCAUGGCCCUUACGACCAGGGCUACACACGUGCUACAAUGGUCGGUACAAAGGGUUGCUACCUAGCGAUAGGAUGCUAAUCUCAAAAAGCCGAUCGUAGUCCGGAUUGGAGUCUGCAACUCGACUCCAUGAAGUCGG